This 289-nucleotide ribosomal RNA is filed under the name uncultured Labrys sp. Its description in RNAcentral is "partial 16S ribosomal RNA". The record is from RNAcentral. Lineage: Bacteria; Pseudomonadati; Pseudomonadota; Alphaproteobacteria; Hyphomicrobiales; Xanthobacteraceae.
CUACUAGGGUAUCUAAUCCUGUUUGCUCCCCACGCUUUCGCACCUCAGCGUCAGUACCGGACCAGUUGGCCGCCUUCGCCACUGGUGUUCUAGCUAAUAUCUACGAAUUUCACCUCUACACUAGCUGUUCCACCAACCUCUUCCGGACUCGAGAUUGCCAGUAUCGAAGGCAGUUCUGAGGUUGAGCCUCAGGAUUUCACCCCCGACUUAACAAUCCGCCUACGUGCGCUUUACGCCCAGUGAUUCCGAACAACGCUAGCCCCCUUCGUAUUACCGCGGCUGCUGGCAC